This 468-nucleotide ribosomal RNA is filed under the name uncultured bacterium. RNAcentral describes it as "partial 16S ribosomal RNA". It matches the Rfam family "Bacterial small subunit ribosomal RNA", at positions 28 to 507 of the family's 1533-position model. The record is from RNAcentral.
GACGAACGCUGGCGGCGUGCUUAACACAUGCAAGUCGAACGGAAAGGCCCUGCUUUUGUGGGGUGCUCGAGUGGCGAACGGGUGAGUAACACGUGAGUAACCUGCCCUUGACUUUGGGAUAACUUCAGGAAACUGGGGCUAAUACCGGAUAGGAGCUCCUGCUGCAUGGUGGGGGUUGGAAAGUUUCGGCGGUUGGGGAUGGACUCGCGGCUUAUCAGCUUGUUGGUGGGGUAGUGGCUUACCAAGGCUUUGGCGGGUAGCCGGCCUGAGAGGGUGAACGGCCACAUUGGGACUGAGAGACGGCCCAGACUCCUACGGGAGGCAGCAGUGGGGAAUAUUGCACAAUGGGCGGAAGCCUGAUGCAGCAACGCCGCGUGCGGGAUGACGGCCUUCGGGUUGUAAACCGCUUUCGCCUGUGACGAAGCGUGAGUGACGGUAAUGGGUAAAGAAGCACCGGCUAACUACGUG